RNAcentral lists this ribosomal RNA (544 nucleotides) under uncultured Alphaproteobacteria bacterium. RNAcentral describes it as "bacterial SSU rRNA". It matches the Rfam family "Bacterial small subunit ribosomal RNA", at positions 355 to 916 of the family's 1533-position model. The record is from RNAcentral. Lineage: Bacteria; Pseudomonadati; Pseudomonadota; Alphaproteobacteria.
UGGGGAAUUUUGGACAAUGGGCGAAAGCCUGAUCCAGCAAUGCCGCGUGAGUGAUGAAGGCCUUAGGGUUGUAAAACUCUUUCAGCAGGGAAGAUAAUGACGGUACCUGCAGAAGAAGCUCCGGCUAACUCCGUGCCAGCAGCCGCGGUAAUACGGAGGGAGCUAGCGUUGUUCGGAAUUACUGGGCGUAAAGCGCGCGUAGGCGGCCUGACAAGUUGGGGGUGAAAGCCCGAGGCUUAACCUCGGAACUGCCCCCAAAACUGUCAGGCUAGAGUCCGGGAGAGGCAGGCGGAAUUCCUAGUGUAGAGGUGAAAUUCGUAGAUAUUGGGAAGAACACCGGUGGCGAAGGCGGCCAUCUGGCUCGGUACUGACGCUGAGGCGCGAAAGCGUGGGGAGCAAACAGGAUUAGAUACCCUGGUAGUCCACGCCGUAAACGAUGUGUGCUAGACGUUGGGGGUCUUAGGCCUUCGGUGUCGCAGCUAACGCGUUAAGCACACCGCCUGGGGAGUACGGCCGCAAGGUUAAAACUCAAAGGAAUUGACGG